GAUGAACGCUGGCGGCGUGCUUAACACAUGCAAGUCGAACGGUGAAGGCGGAGCUUGCUCUGCUGGAUCAGUGGCGAACGGGUGAGUAACACGUGAGCAAUCUGCCCCUGACUCUGGGAUAAGCGCUGGAAACGGCGUCUAAUACUGGAUACGAGCUGCGAAGGCAUCUUCAGCAGCUGGAAAGAAUUUCGGUCAGGGAUGAGCUCGCGGCCUAUCAGCUUGUUGGUGAGGUAAUGGCUCACCAAGGCGUCGACGGGUAGCCGGCCUGAGAGGGUGAGCGGCCACACUGGGACUGAGACACGGCCCAGACUCCUACGGGAGGCAGCAGUGGGGAAUAUUGCACAAUGGGCGAAAGCCUGAUGCAGCAACGCCGCGUGAGGGACGACGGCCUUCGGGUUGUAAACCUCUUUUAGCAGGGAAGAAGCGAAAGUGACGGUACCUGCAGAAAAAGCGCCGGCUAACUACGUG
RNAcentral lists this ribosomal RNA (468 nucleotides) under uncultured bacterium. Its description in RNAcentral is "partial 16S ribosomal RNA". It matches the Rfam family "Bacterial small subunit ribosomal RNA", at positions 28 to 507 of the family's 1533-position model. The record is from RNAcentral.